This 250-nucleotide ribosomal RNA is filed under the name uncultured prokaryote. Its description in RNAcentral is "partial 16S ribosomal RNA". It matches the Rfam family "Bacterial small subunit ribosomal RNA", at positions 524 to 774 of the family's 1533-position model. The record is from RNAcentral.
UACGUAGGUGGCAAGCGUUAUCCGGAAUUAUUGGGCGCAAAGAGUGAGCAGGCGGCAGUUUGAGUCUGAGGUUAAAGCGUGAAGCUCAACUUCAUAAAGCCUUGGAAACUGAACAGCUAGAGUACGAGAGAAGUAAGCGGAAUUCCAUGUGUAGCGGUGAAAUGCGUAGAUAUAUGGAGGAACACCAGUGGCGAGGGCGGCUUACUAGCUCGAAGCUGACGCUCAGUCACGAAAGCGUGGGUAGCAAAUA